AAUUAGUGGCAGACGGGUGAGUAAUGCAUAGGAAUCUACCUAGUAGUAUAGGAUAGCCACUAGAAAUGGUGGGUAAUACUGUAUAAUCCCUGCGGGGGAAAGAUUUAUCGCUACAUGAUGAGCCUAUGUUAGAUUAGCUAGUUGGUGGGGUAAUGGCCUACCAAGGCAGUGAUCUAUAGCUGGUCUGAGAGGAUGAUCAGCCACACUGGAACUGAGACACGGUCCAGACUCCUACGGGAGGCAGCAGUGGGGAAUAUUGGACAAUGGGCGCAAGCCUGAUCCAGCUAUGCCGCGUGAGUGAGGAAGGCCUUAGGGUUGUAAAACUCUUUCAGUAGGGAAGAUAAUGACGGUACC
Molecule: ribosomal RNA, 354 nt
Filed under: Anaplasma phagocytophilum
Lineage: Bacteria; Pseudomonadati; Pseudomonadota; Alphaproteobacteria; Rickettsiales; Anaplasmataceae
Description: bacterial SSU rRNA
Rfam family: Bacterial small subunit ribosomal RNA
Source: RNAcentral